Long non-coding RNA from Carassius carassius (crucian carp), 910 nucleotides. RefSeq lists it as uncharacterized. Lineage: Eukaryota; Metazoa; Chordata; Actinopteri; Cypriniformes; Cyprinidae. The record is from RefSeq and is a predicted model, not a curated record. The transcript is spliced from 5 exons.
AGUACACAAAUCUUUAACACAGAGAAGAUGUGAAAGAAAGGUCUUUUUGAGGCUGAUCUUUUUAGGCUGUGGCAAAACAAAAAUUAAUUUCCCUGAACAAAAUAAACAAUUUUUCCUCUUAAAGAAUAAAGAAGGAUGUAUUCCAGCUUCACCAAUCAAGAACAGUUCUUCAUCAAAGUUCCUUUGUAGAUCAGAAUGAGGAUGUCUUGGUGAUCUGAUGACCACAAAAACAGACUGUACUUGUCCACUUGCCUUCUCAUCUCUGACAGAUGCCCUCAGUCUCUAUGAGUUCCUCGUCCCAAGAUUACGUCAGUAAAUAUUAUCUUUGAGUCUCACAGCAGCUGAACAAUCUGUCAGGAUCAAAACAAGAGAGAACACCUUUAGGGAUUGAGCUCAGCUAUAAGAAAAAGAAUACAGGUCAGAGUGAGCCAGCAGGAACAUAUAAGAGAAAUGUUUGACUUGAAGAACACGAUGUGUUUUCCCAAAGAGUUUUACGGCAGGAAGCUUCAAUCACAUAAUCAUGUCAGCAUGAGGACGUCACUGGAAGAUCUGAAUUAUUGAUGUACUUGACAGUGAUGAGAAACUAUACAAUGUAUUGAGACACAAUGAGAGCAGGAAUGUGAGAGUUCAGAAAAUGAUGCUGUUAAAUAUGUGACUCUAUAAGAAUUGUGGUAAGAUGCAAGGAGAAAUGCUAUACUAUUAAAAGUUUUAGACACUUGUGAAAAGGAAAAUUAUUUCUAUUAACUAAAUCAAAUUAACUUAAACAGUUUUUGUAACAGUUUUUCUUAUUUUAUGAUAAUUGUCACAUGCACAGUACUGUAUAUUUACAUGAACUGAAUAAGAAAUAAAUAUUUUUGUAACAGUUAAUGUUCAUUGUUCACUGGUAAAUCUGAAUUGUUAAAUGCUUAUC